CAUCUUUUUAGCUUCAAAUUCUCAGUUUGAUAACAAUAGAAAUACUGCGGAAAACGUAAUCAAAAGUAAUAACAGCCCAAGGGAUCCGGCGUCACAAGUCAGAGCCUCUAGAUACAACAAAACAGUAUCCUAAACAAGGAAAAUCAAGAUGCGAAAAUAAAAGAUAAGAUAAGAGGAGAAAUUAGGUCCUGCAGACACCAGCAGCUACCUCGAUAUCUUCGGAACCUAACUAGGCAACAGCAGAUAAGCACAGCUAAGUCUUCGAGAUCCCUGUAUCUGCACACAAUGUGCAGGGAGUAGAGUGAGUACUUCCAACUCAUUGAGUAGUAGUAAUAAAUAACAGCUGAAUGUAAGAAAGCCGGUAAGAACACUAUACAGUUCUAAUAUCAACAGUAACGUCAUUGAAUAAUGCUAAAUAGGGGAGGGAAUCUGAUAAAUACUUCUCUUUCCGUCCGACUAGUUACUAACACUGUUGCAACGCGCAGCCCGAUCCAAUUCCAUGUAUAUAAUGUUGCGGCGCACAUCCUGAUCUAAUAUAAUAUAUAUAGUGUUGGUGCGCGUAGCCCGAUCUAAUAUAAUAUAUAUAAUGUUGCGGCUCGCAGCUCAAUCCAAUAAUAUAGUCUACUGCGCUCACUAGGGGUGUGUGCAGACUCUGGAGGAGCUCAUUUAGCCCAAGCGCUAUAAUACUGCGGCGAGUAGUCCGAUCCAUAUAAUAUAUCACUGCGGCGUGCAGACCGAUCCAUAUAAUAUAUUGCUGCGAUGUACAGUCCAAUCCAUAUAAUAUAUAUAAUGCUAUGGCACGCAGCCCGAUUCAAUAUAAUAUAUCAAAUACCCUCACUACGUGGUCCUUGACCCCUCUUAAUCAAUAUAGUCUUGGCCUCUCGGGCCCACUCGGCUAAGACAUGGUAUUCAACCCUAGGUGUUGCUCAUUUAGGGUGCAAGUUACUACGUCUAGUAGCUUUCAUGAUUUACAGUCAAAGUCAGGACAGAUGAUAUGUGUUCAAUAGGUAAAGUGAGGUCAAUCGGCUCAACAUGCUUCCUAGGAGUUCUACAGAUCAGCACAAGGCCCCAAACGUGGCAACUAACCCAAAUAUAUAUGGGUACAAGCUCAUUCUCAGUCAAAAAGUGUAAUAAGUCAUCAAUCGGGAUGAACCAAGCCCGAGUCCCCAGUAGAAACGUCACCACGCUCAUCAUAUGACGCGUGCUUUAUCUCAACAUAGCACCGCAUAGUGCAAAUAUGGGGUUUCAAACACUCAGUAUAUCAUUCAUCACCAUUACUCACCUCAAACCGGCAAAAACCCUAGCUUGCCUAGCGCUUUCCUGGCAAAUCGACCUCCUCAGGUGCAGAAUCUGACCAAAACCACAAGGAAUAUGUUACAAUAGUUUAAUGGGACAUAACCCAAUAGAAAGAACUCGAAAAACACCCAAAAACACGAAGUUGACAAAAUCCGAGCCCUGGGACCACUUCUCAAAAAAUUACAUAAUUCACAUCACCGGAAGCCUCGUCUCGCCACAAGUCCGUACAUACAAAGAACUCCCAAAUCCGAGUUCAAAUGACCUAUCAAAUCCUAAUUUGAAAUAUUAAAAAAACUCAAGCCCUAGUUUCUUCAAUUUCAUACCCAAAUUCAGAGAACUAAUGAAUGAUUCUUCAACAAUAUCACGUAUUAAGCUCAUAAAACUUACCUCCAAUCACUUCCCGUUGAAACCCUCUUCAAAAUCUACCAAAUAGCUCUCAAGGUGGUGCAAAAAUGGUGGAAAAUUGAACCCAAGUCGCGGAUGAAAUGCCAUUUUAAAACCCUUCUAUGAAUAGUCAUUUUUCGCUUCUGCGGUCCUAUUACCGCUUAUGCGUGAUCGCUUCUGCGGUCAUAACUCCGCCUAUGUGAUUUUUCAUAAAACCCCAUCAGCCGCUACUGCGACAAUCAUUUCCGCUUCUGCGGAUUCCUCAUCUCCAGGCCAAAACGCUUCUGCGACCUCACGUCCGCUUCUGCGGACUGGCUUAGGCGAAAAGAAUUCUGCUUCUGCGGAACUACCCAGCUCCACAUCAGACCACUUAUGCAACCAACAUCACACUUCCGCGGAGUCGCUUCUGCGGUCCAUUUCCGUAGAAGCGCUCAUACCAGAUACCAGCGAGAUCUGCCACUUCUCAACUUGAGAUUUCAUCUCGAUAGCCAUUCGAAAUUACCCUGAGGCCCCAGGACCUCAACCAAAUGUACCAACACAUCCCAAAACCUCAUACAAACUUGCUCCAAUCCUUAAAACACAUGAAAUAACGCUAAAACCAUUAAGACACAUUAGAUUCAACCCUAAUUUUCUUCAAAGCUUCCGAAACUCGAAUUCGAUCAAAAACCCGACCAAACGACGUCCGAAUAACCUAAAAAUUUGCAGACAUAUCCAAAAUCACCUAACAAAGCUACUCCAACUCUUGGAAUUUCAUUCCGAACCUCGGAUAAAAAUCUCACUUUCCAACCGGAAUCCGCCAAAAUUCAAACUUCGCCAAUUCAAGCCUAAUUCUACACCAUACCUCCAAAUUCAAUUUCAAUCGUACUCCUAAGUGACAAAUCAUCCCCCGAAGCUAAUCGAACCACCGGAAUUCACAUCUGAGCCCUCUAACCAUAUAGUCAACUUCUCUUUGACUUUUCUAAUACAAGCUUCCAUCUAAGAGGCUAUGUGCCUUAUUUUCAACCAAAACCAAUUCAAUUACACACGAUCAACUCUAAUACUGACAUUGAGACAUGAAGCAACACCAUAAGGGAGGAAACGGGGCGGUAACUUACGUGACAACGGGUCGGUCGUCACAUCCUCCCCAACUUAAACAAACGCUCGUCCUCGAGCGUACCCAGUGUCAUCCUAGAAGUACACCAAUAGCCGAAUAACUUUACCAUGCAUAUAAACCGGGGUGAUCCUACGUCACCCUAUCCCGUACAGGCCCGACAACACAAUAUAGUUGAAAUUUUUCACUCAUUUCACCCAUUUAGUCCUUAAACCAUAGAACUAUAUUUCAUCCUUUGAAAUCUUACACAAGAUCAGAACCUCACAUUUUUUUUCUCAGAAUAAACCCGAACCAGUUUUAAUAAUCCAUACCUGCAACCUCGGCUGCAAUCAUAUGAUAUCCCACAUAACUCAAACACAUGCAACGAUAACCUCCAUUCACCGCAAUUGCCCACGAUAGUCGGAUAUCGAUAGAAAAAAACUUUUUGUUAGUUUCAUAUACUGCCAACGGUAACAGAAACACGCGAUAAUCCAAACCAUCCUCUCAGAUCAACCAUUCAUGAGUCCAUUUCCUUUCUGACUGAUACUACAAUAGAGAUUCAGAGCCAAAUCUCAAUAGUAACUUUCUAACAUGCUGACCGGCAAUUGCCUACAAUAAUCGGAUACCAAUACAAAACCUUUUUGUUAGCUAAAGUAUUAUUCCCACACAUUCAUAUACUACCAACGGUAACUGAAACACGCGAUAUACCGAGAUCAACCAUUCAUGAAUCCAUUUCCCUCUUGACUGAUAUUACAAUAGAUUUCCGAGACAAACCUCGAUAUUACCUCUCUAAUAAGUUGAAAUCAAAUUGCUUCAUGCUCAUUAAUGAAUCCAAUGAUUACUUCGACUCUAACCACCCUUCUGGUGAUAUGACACCACGACACAGGCCUAAGCCACAAUUUGCGUAAUAACGCACCAAUGAGAAGCAGUCUGAACAUACUCAAAUCAUGACAAUGACUCAACGAAAAAGCUGUACCUCAAGCUCAACAACACCAUUACAACACAAAACUGAGAUCCCGCCUCACAUCAUAAAAAUAGAGUACCUAAAUUCUCCUUGAAGGGUCAUAUCUUCACGUCGCCUUGCCAUAACGCGUGAUCCUACCCAAACACUAUUACCCAUGAAGCUCAAAUAAUUCUCCUCGAAUUGUCAUAACUUCACGUGGCCUUACCACAACGCGAGAUCCUAUCUAAACACUAUUACCCAUAAAGCACCUCAAGUCACCAUGCUCAACACGAUCAGCCACGCACAGAUUGAGGUCUGAAACCACGCAAUCCAUCACAUCCACGGUAAAGCAAUUAAUAUACACUAUUCAAUUCUGAAAGGACCCAACCGAAGCGCUAUUCGCCGAGCAAACCCCAAUACGGAUUUUCCCCAGAAACCUGAAAGCAACCCACGGUGAAGCAAUUAAUAUACAUUAUUCAAUCCUGAAAGGACGCAACGGAUGCGCUGUUUGCUGAGCAACACUCAAUACGGAUUUUCCUCAGAAACUAGGAAGCAAGGCAUACAAAGUAACAUAUAGGAAACUGUUCUCCACAUCACACUGUUGUGGCGUACAACUCGACCCAGAUAACAUACAUGUGGCUGUGUGCCACUCGAUUCACCCAAAUAUCUCACAUAGGAGAUGCACAUCGAGCCAAAUUUUGCUCAUUACAAUAAACACAUAUAGUCUCAUGUCUGGCCAUAAGAAGCGCAUCUGAACAAGCCCCAAUAUCGGAACUGAAUCAAUGGUAGAAACAUCUGCACUGACAUCCGCCACGAAGGCCCAAUUAAUGAAUCAAUGCUUUCCAGUCAUCCGCUGGUCUCUGGAAUACAAGCUACCCUGCUAGAACAUAAUCCGAUGCACCUGGCCACGCAGCCUGUGGCAUUUCCGACAUAGCCCAUAACAUAUUAGUCUAGACAAUUUGACACUGAACAACCAGUCUGCCAUCUAAUAUCAUAACCCAAAUUUAACAUACCACGCAAGGAAAGAUCUACUCGGACCUCCAAUUUCCAAUAACCGCUAGACGAUGUCGAUGCACACGAUCUACAACCACUGCACAGGCGGGUCACUAGAACUUCUAGUCUCCAACACAUAUAACACAUGAAUCAGUAUGCCCGAUCCCACACUCCACCAUACGAAUACAUAACAAACAUCGAGUACCCAUUCAUACCACGAAAGAUAUUCAAGAAUUUCCCUGCGCCAUCAACAACCCAAUUAUCAACANNNNNNNNNNNNNNNNNNNNNNNNNNNNNNNNNNNNNNNNNNNNNNNNNNNNNNNNNNNNNNNNAACCCAAUUAUCAACAGUCGAUCCCACAAGAAAAAUGUCGCAAUACUACUGAAGUAUCAUCAGUUUACAUCACCUUACCCUUUUUGACUGAACAUAUACCCUUGUCAAAUGACUACAAUAGCAAUACCAUUUCUUUAAUCAUCUGAAGAUCGAUUCUUCAUUCACCUGCAACUGCCCGUGUUGCUCAAGAAUUUAAUGACCUCCCAUUAUGAACUGAACCAAGACCUUGAACACGCAAAUCCGAAUUCUCCAUAUCAUAACACAUAGACCAUACCACACUAGGAUAACAUGAGGACUCCUAUCUCUCUUCUACGCUGCAGACAUCGACACACUCAACUAGUCAAGACUUUCAUGGUCCCCUAUAGGAGAAAAAUUAUUACACACUCCAUGCUUCGCAUACCCAUAGGAAUAUACUCAUUUUAAACCACGGUAAAACACAUCAAGAACUCUUUCUCCCAAUACCAUUGCACAAGCGAAACUGCCAGGACUGAAUCCUUCUACCCAAACCAAGUUAAGCAAACUACCAGCACUUGAAAGUUUUGUUGCACAAUACCUGUAAGGCUCAUUACCUCGAACACAUACAAUAAUUAAUCAUAUCCUUACCAUACCGAUUCGGUUCGUUAUCAAGCUAUUCUAUUUAUCCAAUUUCCUUCCCGAUUCAUCUUUGAUCCGAUAUUCUCCUUUGCUAUAGCAUGACGAUACCUCAACCCAUGUUACCACACGAGAUUCGCACAUAAAACCACACUGUCUAAGACCCAUAGGCCACUGAAUACCCUCUCAAACAUUUUCCAGAAGUACCACAUUCCAGAAUGCUUUACUUUGAAGAACUUCAUGCGAUCCUGAAUUCAUUUACCAUAACCAUCCAAAUGCGGAUACGUAGAAUCCCAUGAUUAACACAAAGUACCACAAGUCUUGAUCUUUCUAAUGAAAACACGGUCUCUAGCCACAUACACAAACUUAAGACACAUGAUUGUUACAUGCAAAAUAUUGAACGCAGUAAAACCAUUCUCGAGAGUCAUUCACUCUUAUUCAGCUGUAAUUCCCCUUCUUUGAAUGAACGGAAUCACUCGUGCCUCAUUAGAACCAUGACACCGCAGAACAUGAUUUCAUACAGAUACAAACAACAAUCUUUCUUCUCUAUACAGUGAGCAUUCUUUAUCAUCAACAGCUCAAAACAUCCCAGUAUUUUCUCACACCUACGAAGCACCAUAUAACCUUUGUAAAGAAUUUCCUUCACCCGUUCCAUCCUCGGCUCAAUUUAUACAACCAGAGCUAAUCCGCCAUCAUCCCUCGAAACGGAACCAACAUUGCACAUAACCGUGCAAUCAGCUGACCAACAACAACCUCCCCAACUUGGCUCCAAGCCAUAUAUCAAGGCACGCUUAACAACUCAUAGCACUUUUACUCCAAUGAUGCCACAAUUUUAUAGUGAGAUUAAACUCAAGUCAUUUACAAGUUUGUGAAUACACCGAUCAGCUAGCACUGACAUGCUUUGCAAAACUCGAAUUCAUUUCCACAUGAGUUGAGUCCAUUCCUUAAGCGUCCCCGAAUUCUCAAAUUUCAACACAUACCCGACAUGCUUUGCAAAUCUCGCAUUCAUUUCCACAUCAGCUGAGUCUAUUCCUUAAGCGUCCCCAAAUUCUCAAAUUCCAACACAUACCCUUCGAUUACACAUGAGACCUUCUAACAUAAACAUAAGGAUCAUACCCCUCAAAAACACUCCGCAGGAGAUAACCCACCUGCUUCGCCUCCUUUCAAUAUUUCAACAUGCCUUCCGCCAUCAUAUAUGUUACACAAUCAAUUAGUCUUCCUGAGUUUGAGCUCAUACCGCCACAUGAAAUGUACAUUUUCCCACUAAGAGAGAUGAAAAAAUAUUCUUCACGUGCCCAUAACUUGGGGCUACACAUCAGACCGCAAUAGAAAACAAACACUUAACAGCUCAUCUAUUAUCCAUCAGACUUCUUCGUCACUACUAAAAUCAUAUAGAUACCCCUCGCAGUACUCACAUACUCAUCACAUGCAAAUCCCACCACCAACCGGCUAAUAAGAAGAUUACUGAACAUAUAAGUUCAGAUAAAAUCACAUAGAUACCCCUCGCAGUACUGACAUACUCAUCACAUGGAUAUCCCACCUCCAACUCGGCCAAUAAGAACAUUACUAAACACAUAAGUUCAAAACACUUGCUCACACAAUCAGCACCUCGGUGCUCAGGCUAUAGGCAAAGAUCCGCCUCAAAUCCUCCUGACUGGCCCAGCAUAAACUCACGGAGAUUGCAUCUCGCCCCUCAAUCGGGGAAUCACAAGUCAUCCCGGCACAUAUACUACAAAGCGCUCGUGAGCAAACAGACGUGUGGAAGGAAUUUCAAGAAUUAUAUCUCAAGCUUAAUCAAGUACGCACGAUUAGAAUUCCAAUAAAGUGAAGUUUUCCUAAAGGUUUUGCAGCCUCUCGAGGAUAAAUACAGAUGUCUCCGUACAGAUCCGCGAGACUCUACUAAACUGGCUCAUGACUCGCGAGGCCUGGUAACCUAGGCUCUGAUACCAACUUGUCACGGACCAAACCCUGGUCUUGAUGGAACCAAACACAUUUUUAGGCAAGCCUGACCAUUUAAACAUUCCUAGCCAAAUUAUUAACUUAAAUACUAUUUUUAGCAACCCAAACCCCAAUCGUGAUGGCAUCAAACACCUUGUUAGGCAAGCCAGACCAUUUCAACAUUUCCAUCCAAAUCAUUAACUUAAAAACCAUCGUUUUAGCUUAAAAUUCUCAGUUUGAUAACAAUAGAAAUGAAGCGGAAAACAUAAUCAAAAGUAAUAACAGCCCAAGGGAUCCGGCGUCACAAGUCAGAGCCUCAAGAUACAACAGAACAGUAUCCUAAACAAGGAAAAUCUAGAUGCAGAAAUAAAAGAUAGAUAAGAGGAGAAAUCAGAUCCUACGGACGCCAGCAACUACCUCGAUAUCUCCAGAACCGAACUAGGCAACAGUAGAUAAGCAUAGCUAAGCCUCCGGGAUCCCUGUAUUUGCACACAAGGUGCAGGGAGUAGAAUGAAUACUUCCAACUCAGUGAGUAGUAAUAAUAAAUAACAACUGAAUGUAAGCAAUCCGAUAAGAACACUAUACAGUUCUAAUAUCAACAGUAACGUCAUUGAAUAAUGCUAAACAGGGGAGAGAAUCUGAUAAAUACUUCUCUUUCAGUCCGACUAGUUAUUAACACUGCUGCGGCUCACAACCCGAUCCAAUUCCAUAUAUAUAAUGUUGCGGCGCACAACCCAAUCUAAUAUAGUAUAUUUAAUGCUGCGACGUGCACCCCAAUCCAAUAUAAUAUAUAUAAUGCUGCGGCGCAUAGCCAGAUCCAAUAAUAUAGUCUAAUGCGCUUACUGGGGGUGUGUGCAGACUCCGGAGGGGCUUAUUCAGCCAAGCACUAUAAUAUUGCGGCGUGUAGUCCGAUCCAUAUAAUAUAUCACUGCGGCGUGCAGCCAGAUCCAUAUAAUAUAUUACUGCGGCGUGCAAUCUGAUCCAUAGAAUAUAUAUAAUGAGACAGCGCGCAACCCGAUCCAAUAUAAUAUAUCAAAUACCCUCACUACGGGGUCCUUGACCCCUCUCAGUCAAUAUAGACUUGGCCUCUCGGGCCCACACAACUAAGAGAGGGUAUUCAACCUUAGGUGUUGCUCAUUUAGGGUGCAAGUUACUACGUCGAGUAGCUUUCAUAAUUUACAGUCAAAGUCAGGACAGAUGGUAUGUGUUCAAUAGGUAAAAUGGGGUCAAUCGGCUCAACAUGCUUCCUAGGAGUUCUACAAAUCGGCAUAAGGCCUCAAAAAUGGCAACUAGCCCAAAUAUAUAUAAGUACAAGCUCAGUCUCAGUCAAAAAGUGCAGUAAGCCAUCAAUCGGGAUGGACCAAGCCCGAGCCCCCAGCAUAAACGUCACCACGCUCAUCGUAUGACGCGUGUUUUAUCUCAACAUAGCACCACAUAGUUCAAAUACGGGGUUUCAAACCCUCAGUAUAUCAGUCAUAACCAUUACUCACCUCAAACCAGCCAAAUUCUAGCUCGCCUUGCGCUUUCCUCGCAAAUCGACCUCCUCGGAUGCAGAAUCUGACCAAAACCACAAGAAAUAUGUUAUAAUAGGCUAAUGGGACAUAACACAAUCGAAAGAACUCGAAAAACACCAAAAAUACAAAGUACACUUCUCGAAAAAUUAUAAAAUUCAC
Molecule: long non-coding RNA, 9219 nt
Filed under: Nicotiana benthamiana
Lineage: Eukaryota; Viridiplantae; Streptophyta; Magnoliopsida; Solanales; Solanaceae
Description: long non-coding RNA (NBEN_LNC009261)
Source: RNAcentral